UGUUGGAAACAUCUGACCAGGAGAAACUGCUGUAUCUGUUAGGAGAACACAAGAACUGCUGUGUGUUUGCUGCUCAAUAUGUGUCUGCCUGUCACCAUAGAAGAGAAAACACUCAACCUGCCCUGAUCUGAUGUUUCCAGCACGUCUACAUUAUAUUAUACCAAAUUACUGUA
Molecule: long non-coding RNA, 173 nt
Organism: Sinocyclocheilus rhinocerous
Lineage: Eukaryota; Metazoa; Chordata; Actinopteri; Cypriniformes; Cyprinidae
Exons: 3
Source: RefSeq, a predicted model, not a curated record